This 1532-nucleotide long non-coding RNA is filed under the name Sus scrofa (pig). RNAcentral describes it as "lncRNA (ENSSSCG00000061675.1)". Lineage: Eukaryota; Metazoa; Chordata; Mammalia; Artiodactyla; Suidae. The record is from RNAcentral.
ACAGAAACUCACCUCCCUAACUGCUGCGUGCUGCUUUCUCUUUUCGAGAGUUGGACUACACCCAAAGCCACUGUCAAAUGUCAUGGGGAUGAGACUUCACGAGGAGAUAUUGGAGACUUUAAUCAAGAGGAUUCUUGAAACAUGACCACCUGACAGUUGGAAGACAGUUUUCCACCCCAUAAAGGGUGAUAUCUAAAAUCUUCACCAGCCAUGCUGUACAAGAAACGACCCAUCUGAACGGAUAUUCCACUGAUCAUAAGGAACACCAUACUGGGCCUCACCCAGGCUAGGGGUCAAAUCAGAGCUACAGCUGCCAGCCACAGCCACAGCAAUUUGGGAUCCAAGCUGCCUCUGUGACCUACACCACAGCUCAUGGAAGCACUGAAUCCCUGACCUGCUUAGCAAGGCCAGGGGUCAAACCUGUAUCCUCAUAGAUACCUCAUCAGGUUUUUUUCUACUGUCCCACAAUGGGAACUCCAGUGUUUUUUAAGCUAAAGGAUUCUUGGAUAUUAACUAAACGAUUUCAGCAAUUUAGGAAGUGUUUGUUCAAGAAAGAUGGCUGAAUCAUUGUAAGAACAGUGAGUUUUGUGUCAUUUUAACUUACCCUAUUCUCAUCCCCACUUCCCAGCUUAAUGGUAGCCUUGAAAUGUAAUAGCCCAUCAUCAUAGUGAAAAUCAGGGGUCUGUAAGCCAUUGGAAGCAGAAGAAUGUAGAGCUCCUUCAAAAUUCCGUUCCCAGAGAAUUGGCAUUAUUUGACUUGUUUAGUGGUUCUCAAGAACACUUUUCAUGAAAGGUUAUAUGUAUUUGACCUUAUUCAGAGAUCCUCCAGUGUGAAAUGUUUUUCUUCUGGGACGUUUGUAGAAACCAAGUAUAGGAAAUUGUUGACAUUGUGGUUACCUGAAUCAUGGAUAACAGCUGGAGCAAACAAUAGGCUAAUCAAAAAGCUUAAAAAAGGAAAAUGAAAUCUCCAUAGGGACUUUGGUAGGCUGAAGGAUAUUCUUGGUAUUCUAGAAAGCUGUGCACAUGACCAGGGCCACAUGUAUUCUCAGGAAAGAGUCCAAAAGGCCCUAAGUUCUCACUCUUGGCUAACAUUAAGGUUCUGCACAAGCUGGAAAUGAAGGUUAGGGCAGAGUUCUCAACUGUCUGGUUCAGUGAUAAAGGCAUAUCCCAACAUGCAUACAGAGCCCUUUGCCAAAAAUCUCUUUCUAAUUAUUAACUGACAACUAACCUAACUGAGCAGAGAUUUCCAUGGCCAAAACUGACAAAGAAUACAGACUUUAUGGAAUUCAUCAGAAAAGUCACAAAACAUCAAUAGCAACAAACCUUGAGGAGGAGGAAUUUCCGACUUUCCACAUUAUAUUAUUUGAAAUGUCAAGCUUUGACCAAAAAGUUAUGAUACAUACAAGGAAAUAAGAAAUUUGGUCUAUAACGUGACAAAAAGAAGUCAACAGAAAAUGUCCUUUAGGAAGCUCAGAUAUUGGACUGAUUCAAUAAAGAUUUCUACUCAAAUCAUCUAUUUAAAAUAUGUUCAAA